Molecule: RNA transcript, 3438 nt
Organism: Nycticebus coucang (slow loris)
Lineage: Eukaryota; Metazoa; Chordata; Mammalia; Primates; Lorisidae
Gene: GPX8
Gene name: glutathione peroxidase 8 (putative)
Exons: 5
Source: RefSeq, a predicted model, not a curated record
AGCCUGCUGAGACUUCCCUCCAGAAUCAUCCAAAAUGGAGCCUCUUACAGUUUACCCAUCAAAGUGUUCCGGGCCCAAAGCAAAGGUACUUGCAGUUUUGCUGUCAAUGGUUCUAUGCACAGUAAUGCUGUUUCUUUUACAACUAAAAUUCCUAAAGCCUAAAAUCAACAGCUUUUAUACCUUUGAAGUGAAAGAUGCAAAAGGCAGGCCCGUUUCUCUGGAAAAGUUUAAAGGCAAAGUUUCACUAGUUGUAAACGUGGCUAGUGACUGCCAGCUCACAGACAGAAAUUACUUAGCACUGAAGGAACUGCACAAAGAGUUUGGACCAUCGCACUUCAGCGUAUUGGCUUUUCCAUGCAAUCAGUUUGGAGAAUCGGAGCCCCGCCCCAGCAAAGAAGUAGAAUCUUUUGCAAGAAAAAACUACGGAGUAACAUUCCCCAUCUUCCACAAGAUUAAGAUUCUAGGAUCUGACGCAGAACCUGCAUUUAGAUUUCUUGUUGAUUCUUCAAAGAAGGAACCAAGGUGGAAUUUUUGGAAAUAUCUGGUCAACCCUGAGGGUCAAGUUGUGAAGUUCUGGAGGCCGGAGGAGCCCAUUGAAGCCAUCAGGCCUGACAUAGCAGCUCUGGUUAGACAAAUGAUCAUAAAAAAGAAGGAGGAUCUAUGAGAAUGCCAUUGAGCCAUUCUAUAGCAAUAGAGUAGAAAUGUCUGCAUGAGGGUGUGAUCCUGUUUUAACACCCUACAAUCAAUUGUGGCAAUGAAGGAUGACUUUUUAUGUGUUAUCUUGCUGCUCAGCAGUAAUGAAUGUCCCUAGGAUAAAGAUGUUACCCAAAGAAAAAUAAAGAGUAGCCAAAGAAUCAAAAUGAAAUAUAUGAAAAUUUCAGAGUACCCAGUGAUCAAUGUGCUUCAAUAUCAUAUUGUUCGAUUUGGCAUUUCUAGGAUUAUACUUAUGGAAAAGCAAACACACUAGACCACUGUUUGGAUUCAAAACCAUGGUGUGUAACUGAAAUUUUUAGAGUAAUUAACUGAAAAUGAAUAUGUUGAUGUAAUAAACACAAAAUAAAUGUUGAAAAACUGUAAAAUUUCUAGACAUAAAUUUGAAUCCUUAUAUUUGUUUUGUGUGCGGUAUUGUGUAUAGUUUGGAGUUUAAGUACAAGUUCCUAGUGUGUUCUACUACAUAUGAUGAAAUAGUCAUCUGUAAAUUAUCAUAACAUCUGAAAAAGCUUUCAUCAUUGUCAAUAUUUCUCUCCUCAUUUUUUAAGAGCAACUCGAAUUGCAUAAUUAGGAUAUUAACAGUUAAGUUCAUCUUAAUUUUUUAGUGAACAUUUCAAAUGUAGGAAAAAGGACAAACAUAUAUGAUCUUUUGACUUCAUUUUACAGGUUGAUUUUUUGGUUGCUUAUAUAUUCAGACUAGAUUUGGAAAGAAUUCAAUGCUUCAUCAUUCUGGUAGCUAAAACAGUAAGAAUUAACUCUAGUCAAAACUCUCAUUUUUAUUUUAUUUUAUUUUAUUUUUGGUUUUUGGCCGGGGCUGGGUUUGAACCCGCCACCUCCGGCAUAUGGGACUGGCGCCCUACUCCUUGAGCCACAGGUGCCGCCCAAAACUCUCAUUUUUAAAAGGAGGUGAUUAUGAUCACACAGUCCUAAAAUGUGGAUCAGCAAUCACAAACCUUUUGGGAGAUUCACUUUUUUUCUCUCAAAGUCAUGGCUUUUAUAUUUUGUCAGCCUUUGAAUUAUUAACUAACAAAGCAAUUUGCCAAGUUGGUGAAGGUUCAUUUGAUUCCUGCUCUAUGAAACAGACGGGACGAAAAAAUACGUGAAAAUACGGUCAUGUAAAAUUUGGCUAAGAAAGAAGACUUAAAUAGCCUGUCACUUGACUCCCAAAGUCUGACCUGAUGAAUGACAAAGUCAAUGGUGCUAUAUAAAAUAACAUGUUGAAAUUUAACCUUUAAAGAAAGAUGAAAACAACAUUUACAUAGAAGGGAUACUUAAGCACAAAGGUCCUGAAAAUGAAAUAAUACCUGGGCAACAACAAAAAAAGCAUGAGAUUGGAAAGUAGCAAAAUGCAUAAGCAUCAAAAUACAGGGUGUAACUAAUGGACCAGACCACCACAGUCAGUUCCACUAACUGGCUACAGAUGUCCACAUGAGCACACUACAUGCCUGGGAGCCAGGACAUAGCAGAUGCUGCUCCAGAGGUCAAAGCCUCCAAAGGAAAGAGAAAAUGUUUUGUAUCAUACUGUAUAGUCAGUCCUUCCCACUUCACAAGUUAGAACUCAUGCUCUUUUCUAAACCUUUUAUGAGCCUGUAAUUCUACAGAAGAUGAAGUGAAGAACUGAGACCAAUCUUCCAAACAAUUCAACCCAUCCCCCACUGAAAAAUCCCAAAUUUCUUGAUAUUUCAAGUGAAAAAAUUUUAGUUGAUUGAAUGAUCUGAAAAAUUACCUCAAGUCUCCCUUCCGCUGGCAUGGAUCUCGUACAUAAGGUCAUGGCUUACAGAGAUUUAGUCUAAUGCUACAUUAAGAAACCGUGGCCCAAACAUUUAGUUGAAAAUCUGGGGAAUUUGAGGCUCUCCACUCCAAAUUAUCACUAUAUUUUAAAUUUUAUAUUUAAAAAUAUAUAUGCAUAUGUUCACAUAUACUUUACCACUCUAACACUCCAAAAAUACUACUUAAAAUUUUUUAGGCAAUUAAUCAUAGUACUUUCUUAACCAUUAAAAAGCUUAAUAGUUGAAAAACUGAACAUCAAUAAUAACUUAUGGCAAACAGUAUGCUGCUUCAUAGCAAACACACACACACAUAAAUUACAGAUUUAGUUACACUCUGAUGUUCAUUGUAUAUGCAAUAAGAUAGCAGUUGCAUGUUAGCUGAUGCCAUUCACAUAUUCAACCAGCUAACAAUACACUGCCAACCCAUCACACACAGAUAACCAAUGUAUUUCCUUAACAAGAGGAAUUUAUCCAGAAGCAAGUGGCAGGGUAGUUAUGGCUGCUGAUUUGAUGCAAAGCAGCCAGCUAACAAUACACUGCCUACCUGAUUCGGAUCAUUGCCAAUUUUCAUGGCUCAUGAAGUCACUCACACUGAAUUUGUAACAUGACACACAGUAGCAGAACUUUAAUCUUAAUAGUCACAUUAAAGAAAAUGUAUAGGCAAAACUUGUUACUCUAAAAGUAUAAGAAAUAAAAUCAACAUUCUCUUCAAUCUAGCCAAAAACUUAAAAAGAGCCUUUCAGAAUAUUUACACUUAGGUUUUCUAGAUUAAAAGCUUGGAUAAUGAAGAUAUGUUAUUAUAGUACAAAUGAAUUUUUCAAUUACUUAACUAAAGCUCUUCAAAUUGCUUCUGUUUACUGACUAAAAGACCAGUUGUCACUAUUAGGCAAUAAAAUAUCUAGAAAUCAAUAUAACACAUAAAUUGAUCGUGAUACAACGAUGUCUGUGGUGGGGGGAG